This is a long non-coding RNA of Papaver somniferum (opium poppy), 1905 nucleotides long. RefSeq lists it as uncharacterized. The record is from RefSeq and is a predicted model, not a curated record. NCBI's taxonomy places the organism in Eukaryota, Viridiplantae, Streptophyta, Magnoliopsida, Ranunculales, Papaveraceae. The transcript has 8 exons.
CUGAAACAGAUCUAGUCUUAUUCACCGCCAUUUUUUCUCCUUUCUCUGCUGUUCCUCUAUUCCUCUUUUCUGUCAGUUUCAAUUUCAAGAGAUUUAAGCUUAAUUCUAAGAGAGGGAUUCAUAGAAAAUUAAUACUGAUGUUGAUGGAGCCAUAGUUGAUUGAACACAUAACUGUGUUGAGGGAGAGAGUUCUAAGAAAAAGGUGAUGUUUUUACAGAUAAGAUUAAGGUUUCAAUGAGAAUCGAUGUUGGAGAUAAAGAUCAUGAGUCUGAGAUUUAGAGAAAUGGAAUGGAAUCAGGGACAAUUGAUGGUUAUGGUGUCAAUCCGUGUGUUGAUUCAAACUCAACAGAAAGAUAAAGAGGACGAGAUAAUAGUUGUGGUUCGAAGAAGAUUUGAUGUUGUUACAAGUUAGGGUUAGUGAUUGCGUUUGGGUUCUGAAGAAUGUAGAAGAACAAAGAAAUCAGAGAACAAUUGAUGAUGGUUAGAUCAGUGAUUGAAGAGACCUAUUGAACUUGUUGUGACCACUUAUCAGGCUUCUCUGUUGUUGUUGUUCAAUUCGUCAGAUAAGCUAACUUACUCAUAAAUCUUGUCACAACUGAAUUUGUCGGAUGAUGAUGUUGUAAGGCUGCUUCAUUCCCUUUCAUGUUCAAAAUACAAGAUCCUUGCGAAGGUACCUAACACGAAAACAAUCUCUCAGAAGGAUAGUUUUAUGUUUAAUGCUGAAUUUACUGAUAAAAUGAGGAGGAUCAAGGUUUGGGGGCUCACCUAGCACAUGUCAGCUCCACCAUCCGUGACAAGAUCAUCCCACAUGUUGUGUCGUGGUUCACUGGAGAAGCUGUCCCGAGUGAAGAAUUUGAUAUGGAUAUGGAUGAUGACGAGGAAGAUGAGGAUGGAGAUGACGACGAGGAAGACGAUGAUGAAGAUGAAGGAAAGAACAUGAAGAAGCCAACAUCCGGAAAGAAAAGUAGAGUUCCAGCUGCUGAUGGACAGCAAGGGGAGGGACCUCCAGAGUACAAGCAGUAGUAAGGUUUGGUUUAGCAGCAGCCAAGUAAUUCACUGCCAUUUUUUGAAUGUGUGUGCUUAACACUGGCAAGUUGAUUGUGUUGCGUAUUCGUCAUUGUUUCACUAAUGAUUCAACAAGGUUGAAUGUUGAUUGAAUAUGUUAUUAUGGACGCAAUUGCAAUACAGAAAGUCUUAAGAAAUAUGACAAGGUACAUUCCUCUGUAAAUGUCAGAAACUUCAGGUCCAAGUUGAGGGCUGAGCACAUUGAGCUCCUUAAAUCUCCUUGGCUAAUAGAGUUGGGUGCCUUUUAUAUAAAUUUCAAUGGAUCUAAUGGAGUUUCAGUCGAGUUUGUCGAUCAAUUCUCUUGUGAUUUUGAGUCAGAUCACCCUUUAAUGACAUUGAUGGUUUUGGAUUCUGUGAAGCUGGAGUAUAGCCUGACUUGCGUUGUUUGCUUGGUAACGACAUCGACGUAUAUUUGAGAUCGUUAAUAGAUGAGCUCAAGAAGUUAUGGGAGGCAGGGUUAGAUACAUAUGAUUCCUUAAGAAAUGAAAUGUUCAAUCUGCGUGCGGGAAGACUAUGGACUGUAAGUGAUUAUCCUGGACUUACAAUGCUCUCGGGAUGGAGUAAUAAAGGGAAAUUGGCAUAUACAGGUGUUUGUUUCUUUGAAUAUAAGGGAAUGGCAUGAUGCCUUUUUUUGUUUUCAUGCCAUUAGGUGUGUUCGCAGUUUGUCCCAAACUUUACACAGGCACUUUAGUUGUUUUUAAGCUUAGUUACUACCUUUUUGAACUCUCUGGGUGUUGUUCUGUUGCCCAGAUUUUUGUUUCAGAAACAGUAGAACUCAACAUGGAAAACUUCGUAAAACUUCACAAGUUUCUAUAAUUAAAUUUAGUUUCUUAUUUUAUA